CAUUCUCAAACCUUCUCGGUUUCUCGACCGGGGAAGGCUUUGGACUUUGGAGGCUUUUGCUGACCUUCCUUCGUUGGAACCAGCUCCUCUGAAAUGAAUUAGUAGGGUCCACUUUGCCGAUCCUUGACGUGAUAAAAUGUUUUCUACGUCUCGGGUUUCGCACUGUUUUGUCCUGGAUCCUGCUUCUAACCGUCUCUCAGAAGACAGAUGGUCGAGUGAUCGUCGCUCGACCCACGAA
This 238-nucleotide unclassified non-coding RNA is filed under the name uncultured Russulaceae. RNAcentral's name for it is "sequence contains ITS2". Lineage: Eukaryota; Fungi; Basidiomycota; Agaricomycetes; Russulales; Russulaceae. The record is from RNAcentral.